This is a long non-coding RNA of Gallus gallus (chicken), 353 nucleotides long. Lineage: Eukaryota; Metazoa; Chordata; Aves; Galliformes; Phasianidae. The record is from Ensembl.
GGUGUAUCCAUGCCUGCGGGCACAACAGUUCCGUCAACGCAGGACGAGCUUGAAAUAAUUCCUGGAGACGUGUUAGAUCCUGAAAGCUGAGAUAGUCUGGACUGAGCAAGCUGCAAGAGCCACCUUCACACUCAGUUCAAGAACACUUCAGUGUUUCACAAGGAGCCAGUUACACCAAAGCACUCCAAUUUCACAUCCUGGAUACAUGCAUGAGUUCUGGUUUCUGGCUCUGUACGUUGCAGGUCAUUUAUAUUUUCUACUCAGAAGCUAAAGGCUGGAAGCUGACUCAUUGUUAAUAGAAAGUAUAAAAGCCCGCUAGGAGCAACAUGAUUCCAGGAGCUCAGACUAUCAUG